Molecule: ribosomal RNA, 403 nt
Filed under: uncultured bacterium
Lineage: Bacteria
Description: bacterial SSU rRNA
Rfam family: Bacterial small subunit ribosomal RNA
Source: RNAcentral
UGAGGAAUAUUGCACAAUGAGCGCAAGCCUGAUGCAGCAACGCCGCGUGAGGGACGAAGGCCUUCGGGUCGUAAACCUCUUUUCUGGGGGACGAGUAAGGACGGUACCCCAGGAAUAAGUCUCGGCUAACUACGUGCCAGCAGCCGCGGUAAAACGUAGGAGGCGAGCGUUAUCCGGAUUUACUGGGCGUAAAGCGUACGCAGGUGGCUUCGUUAGUCGGACAUGAAAGCUCCUGGCUUAACUGGGAGAGGUUGUUCGAUACUGCGGGGCUUGAGGUUGGGAGAGGGACGUGGAAUUCCCGGUGUAGUGGUGGAAUGCGUAGAUAUCGGGAGGAACACCAGUGCGCAAGCGGCGUCCUGGCCCACACCUGACGCUGAGGUACGAAAGCGUGGGUAGCAAACAG